Molecule: ribosomal RNA, 468 nt
Filed under: uncultured bacterium
Lineage: Bacteria
Description: partial 16S ribosomal RNA
Rfam family: Bacterial small subunit ribosomal RNA
Source: RNAcentral
GACGAACGCUGGCGGCGUGCUUAACACAUGCAAGUCGAACGGAAAGGCCCUGCUUUUGUGGGGUGCUCGAGUGGCGAACGGGUGAGUAACACGUGAGUAACCUGCCCUUGACUUUGGGAUAACUUCCGGAAACUGGGGCUAAUACCGGAUAGGAGCUCCUGCUGCAUGGUGGGGGUUGGAACGUUUCGGCGGUUGGGGAUGGACUCGAGGCUUAUCAGCUUGUUGGUGGGGUAGUGGCUUACCAAGGCUUUGACGGGUAGCCGGCCUGAGAGGGUGACCGGCCACAUUGGGACUGAGAUACGGCCCAGACUCCUACGGGAGGCAGCAGUGGGGAAUAUUGCACAAUGGGCGGAAGCCUGAUGCAGCAACGCCGCGUGCGGGAUGACGGCCUUCGGGUUGUAAACCGCUUUCGCCUGUGACGAAGCGUGAGUGACGGUAAUGGGUAAAGAAGCACCGGCUAACUACGUG